UACGGAGGGUGCAAGCGUUAUCCGGAAUCACUGGGUUUAAAGGGUGCGUAGGCGGUGGCGUAAGUCAGUUGUGAAAUUCCCCGGCUUAACCGGCGGGAGUGCGAUUGAUACUGCGUUACUUGAAUCAGGUUGAGGUAGGCGGAAUGUGACAUGUAGCGGUGAAAUGCUUAGAUAUGUCAUAGAACACCGAUUGCGAAGGCAGCUUGCUGGACCUGUAUUGACGCUGAGGCACGAAAGCGUGGGGAGCAAACAGG
Molecule: ribosomal RNA, 254 nt
Filed under: uncultured bacterium
Lineage: Bacteria
Description: partial 16S ribosomal RNA
Rfam family: Bacterial small subunit ribosomal RNA
Source: RNAcentral